Eupeodes corollae is the source of this 1130-nucleotide long non-coding RNA. RefSeq lists it as uncharacterized. The transcript has 5 exons. The record is from RefSeq and is a predicted model, not a curated record. Lineage: Eukaryota; Metazoa; Arthropoda; Insecta; Diptera; Syrphidae.
UCCUUAAUAUUUUUUCCAUAGAGAUGCAGGCAUCGACGUAGAAGUUCAGAGAAUUACAAAGUGGUAUGAUAUCCAAGCAGUAUUAAAGAAUGUCAUGAUAAGCGACCAAAUCGAUUUUGAAAGUUAUAAUAUUGAACAAAUGCGCAAAGAUUUUGGUGCGCCAUUAUUUGUUUCAUUUUCAGGUUGAUAUUAUGCACUUAGGCCAAACACAUUCUUCCUCAAUGUCGUCAACUCUUAGCCUUUCGACAUCAAUCCUCAAGGAAAAAACGGAGGAAAGCAUUUAAUGGAGAUUUACAAAAGAAAUGAUUGCUUUCAACAACAACAACGUUAUUAAACAGAAAACUAAGAAAUCAUUCCAUGCAGAUACAGAUACCGAAACUUGAUUCAAUAGCUUGAAGUAUGACAAUUUAUCGGUCGAAUAAUUCAACAGCUUGUGGGCGGCAUGUAGCCAGUUAACUUCAUCGAACAAAGCGAAAUAUUUGAAAAAGGGCCCUAAUAAAAAAACUUAAGAUACAGACUGUUUGUUUUUUCUACACAUUAUGAGAAGCUUUUUGCCUACUAAAAUGAAGCUUAAAACUAACUAAAAUUGUUAGCAGAUCGAUAAAGACUUUCAAACGUUCUAUGCAACCAGCACAUCAAUACCUUCCUUGUGGCAAAAUCAUUGGAAUACAUCAAAAACUUCAUGAAGGAAAACAUUAAGGACUAAAAGGUUACAGAAACAUUGAACGACUUGGGAGAUACUAAUUUUGAAGAAGGUGAUUUCGUGCUAAAGAUAAUUAAAAGUAUUCACUUCUAAUUAUUUUCAAUAGCAGCAGUUUCAAGAAAAUGUGGAACCGGAGCCAAGUCAAGAAGCAAAUUCACCAUCAAUGAGUGACUGAUGGCCUUUAUCUUUAAAGCAGAGACGAUGCAAAGUAUUAGAGGACAACAUAGCAUUCCGGAAAUCCAGAGGUGAAACUAUUCAACCUCUAAUACUUACAGUAAGGGAACAAAUUAAUACUUAAUUUUGUUAUACGGCCACAAAAUCACGACAACCAAUGUCUUAAAAGCUGUGGAAGUCUGUUUCAAAUACUUUUUUUGUUCAACUUAAACUUCAUUGAAAGAUGAAUCCAGAACUGUCAACAAUGCAACCU